AUGGUUUGGCAGAAUAUCUCUUUGGAAAUUGGUGAAGAUAGGGGUUGUGGAAAAGGAAAGUGGUAUAAAGUAAAUGACACAGUGACAGAAGAAUUCGACCUAAAUAAUGAGAUUCCGGAGUGCGAAUGCUUUGGUGAAGAAUAUAGACCAAAAUUUUAUGAUCAAGGGAGGUCUGAUGAGAACGCCGGGGGUCACCAAAGAAGACUCAAGUUAGCUGUGUACAGCAGGAAGCCGAGGACUUCUCACUCCAUGGACUCCUGGAGAGAUGCCUUGGAGGGAACCUGCGAAAAGAUACCAGCAAGAAACAACUCGGAGUUUCAGAUUACUUCCAACCAGGACAGCCUACAAGAUAGCAGUACAAUCGGGAGAAUUGGGCAAUGUAAUUAUAGUAUGGAAAUGAUGCUGAUCACUCAAGCAGAGUGUAGACCUUGAAUCUAAAACCUUGCUCUGUCUUCCCACCCAUUUUCCAUGGCUCGCACUUGAAGCUGUAGCCACCACACCCAGGAAACUGGAGGUAAGCUCACUCCUACUUGGAAGCUAGAAGGUGGUCAAGUCCCUGUGUAGGGUGUAAUAAGGUGUGGGGCAAGGGAUCAG
Molecule: long non-coding RNA, 594 nt
Filed under: Macaca mulatta (Rhesus monkey)
Lineage: Eukaryota; Metazoa; Chordata; Mammalia; Primates; Cercopithecidae
Description: lncRNA (ENSMMUG00000062129.1)
Source: RNAcentral